AAUCAACGCUGGCGGCGUGCCUAACACAUGCAAGUUGAGCGCUUAAGGGGGGCGAACCCCCACGAGAGCAGCGAACGGGUGAGUAACGCGUGGGUGAUCUUCCUUCGAGUGGGGAACAACAUCGGGAAACUGGUGCUAAUUCCGCAUAACACCUUGAGACCAAGAGUCUUGAGAUCAAAGCCGGGGACCGUAAGGCCUGGCGCUUGAAGAUGAGCCCGCGUCCGAUUAGCUAGUUGGCGGGGUAAUGGCCCACCAAGGCUUCGAUCGGUAGCCGGCCUGAGAGGGCGGACGGCCACACUGGAACUGAGACACGGUCCAGACUCCUACGGGAGGCAGCAGUGGGGAAUUUUUCGCAAUGGGCGCAAGCCUGACG
RNAcentral lists this ribosomal RNA (373 nucleotides) under uncultured bacterium. RNAcentral's name for it is "bacterial SSU rRNA". It matches the Rfam family "Bacterial small subunit ribosomal RNA", at positions 32 to 388 of the family's 1533-position model. The record is from RNAcentral.